CGAUCACACGAACACUUCAAAGUUCAAACCUCGGCUUCCUGCAGAACAACGCUUUCAGAUUCAGACCUGCUUCCUCUCGCUCGCUCAAACACACUGUGAUUCUCACCUCCUCGUCAGUUCUCAGUCGUUUCUCUUGGUUUAUCACGUCUCUUCUCUUUGGUGUGUGUGUGUGUGUGUGUCUGUCUGUCUGUUUCUGCUGACAAAGGUACUUUCAAUGUUUUUUAUUUUUUAGUUAUCGGGCGAAUCCCGUGAAUGAGAACAUAUGCAGUGAGGAACAGGGAGAAGACAACAGACAGCAGAUCUUUCAGACAAACGGAAUGAACCUAAUGUUAGAGACAAACUGAGCACAGAAAACAGAGACAGAGAAGAUUCAGAAAUCAUCACCUGCUUAAAUCCUGCACAUCCUGAUCCCAAGUUUAUAAAAGUACAGACGAGAGCAAACUAUGUGCCACACUUUCAGCAAACAUGUUUCAGAUAUUCCUAUGAAUGCAUUACAGUACCACAUUAAAAGGGGUUUUAUGCUUUUAUUGUGCAAAAAUCCUCUCAAAGAAGAC
Carassius auratus (goldfish) is the source of this 554-nucleotide long non-coding RNA. RefSeq lists it as uncharacterized. The record is from RefSeq and is a predicted model, not a curated record. The transcript has 3 exons. Lineage: Eukaryota; Metazoa; Chordata; Actinopteri; Cypriniformes; Cyprinidae.